Molecule: ribosomal RNA, 801 nt
Filed under: Triticum aestivum (bread wheat)
Lineage: Eukaryota; Viridiplantae; Streptophyta; Magnoliopsida; Poales; Poaceae
Description: partial small subunit ribosomal RNA
Source: RNAcentral
AUGGCCUCAUCCGCCUCCUUGCUGCACCCUUCCACGCUCGCCCCAGCCUUCUCGCCGCCUGCACCCCGGCGCCCGUCACAGCUCGACCUCCGCUCCAGCCGCCGUCACCACGGCGUCUCGGUCUCCCUCGCCGCCUCGUCAUCCGCCGCGUCGCCGGAGGUGGAGAAGGAGCCCUCCUCGCCGUCCACCCCGCCGUUGGACGACUCCUCGGCCCUAUCGGCCGUGGCGGAGAGCGUGAAGGUGCUCAAGGAGGCGGCCAAGACGAGGAAGGUGCCGGCCGACGAGGUGCUGGCGGCGCUGGCCAAGAUCAAGAAGGCCAAGCUCGACACCUCCGCCUUCUUCGAGACGCUCGGCGGGACCGAGUCCCCCGGCAGGACAUGGAAGCUCAUCUUCACCGCCCAGGGUAGUAAGCUCGAGAAAGGCAGCUACUUCCCGGUGACCGCCGUCCAGCGCUUCGACGCCGCGGGGCAGAGGAUCGAGAACGGGGUGUACCUGGGGCGGGCGGGGAGCCUGAGCUUCGAGGGGCGGCUGUCGUGGAAGAAGAAGAUCCUGGCCUUCGUCUUCGAACGUGUGCGCCUCAAGCUCGGGCCUCUGCCCUCCCUGGAGAUCCCACUCGGCGGCGGCGACGUGGGCAGGGAGCCGAGCACCAAGGACCCCUUCUUCCUGUGGUUCUACGUGGACGAGGAGAUCGCCGUGGCGCAGGGCAAGGGCGGCGGCACCGCCUUCUGGUGCCGCUGCAAGCGCGUCGACGGGCAAGGGCGGCGCCCCGCCUUCUGGUACUUCGGUUUCAACAUAAUUUAG